This 169-nucleotide ribosomal RNA is filed under the name Escherichia fergusonii. RNAcentral's name for it is "partial 16S ribosomal RNA". It matches the Rfam family "Bacterial small subunit ribosomal RNA", at positions 296 to 464 of the family's 1533-position model. The record is from RNAcentral. Lineage: Bacteria; Pseudomonadati; Pseudomonadota; Gammaproteobacteria; Enterobacterales; Enterobacteriaceae.
GAGGUGAUCCAGCCACACUGGAACUGAGACACGGUCCAGACUCCUACGGGAGGCAGCAGUGGGGAAUAUUGCACAAUGGGCGCAAGCCUGAUGCAGCCAUGCCGCGUGUAUGAAGAAGGCCUUCGGGUUGUAAAGUACUUUCAGCGGGGAGGAAGGGAGUAAAGUUAAU